Molecule: ribosomal RNA, 274 nt
Filed under: uncultured bacterium
Lineage: Bacteria
Description: partial 16S ribosomal RNA
Rfam family: Bacterial small subunit ribosomal RNA
Source: RNAcentral
AUACGGAGGGGGCGAGCGUUGUUCGGAAUCAUUGGGCGUAAAGGGCGCGUAGGCGGCUGUCCAAGUCGGAUGUGAAAUCCCUCGGCUCAACCGAGGAACUGCAUCCGAUACUGGGCGGCUAGAGUCCGGGAGAGGGUGGCGGAAUUCCCAGUGUAGCGGUGAAAUGCGUAGAUAUUGGGAAGAACACCGGUGGCGAAGGCGGCCACCUGGACCGGAACUGACGCUGAGGCGCGAAAGCCAGGGGAGCGAAUGGGAUUAGAAACCCCAGUAGUCC